GGGAAGAAUACCCAGUUAGUUACAUGUAGAGACCACCAAACCCAAAGUUUCAGUUCACUUUCUGACAGAACGAACCCUAACUCAACCUUUUCUCACUCGAGCAGUCACAGGGACAAACCAUCUUCAAAAACCCUUGGGCUUCGAUUGGAGUGGUAAAAGUGAGAUAGGACUCUCUUAGAAGGUGAAGUUUGGGUUUGGUGGCCACUACAUGUAAUUGGUAUUCUUCCUCGCUGCC
Molecule: microRNA precursor, 235 nt
Filed under: Populus trichocarpa (black cottonwood)
Lineage: Eukaryota; Viridiplantae; Streptophyta; Magnoliopsida; Malpighiales; Salicaceae
Description: miR7831 stem-loop (ptc-MIR7831)
Source: miRBase by way of RNAcentral